This 253-nucleotide ribosomal RNA is filed under the name uncultured bacterium. RNAcentral describes it as "partial 16S ribosomal RNA". It matches the Rfam family "Archaeal small subunit ribosomal RNA", at positions 474 to 727 of the family's 1478-position model. The record is from RNAcentral.
UACCAGCACCCCGAGUGGUCGGGACGAUUAUUGGGCCUAAAGCAUCCGUAGCCGGUUUUACAAGUCCUCCGUUAAAUCCAGCUGCUUAACAGAUGGGCUGCGGAGGAUACUAUAAGACUAGGAGGCAGGAGAGGCAAGCGGUACUCAGUGGGUAGGGGUAAAAUCCGUUGAUCCAUUGAAGACCACCAGUGGCGAAGGCGGCUUGCCAGAAUGCGCUCGACGGUGAGGGAUGAAAGCUGGGGGAGCAAACCAG